CAGCAUUGCUGACUGCAUUAAAGACUUCCUUGAUGAAGUAAAACAAUCAACUCUAAAUGCCUGUCAGUCCAAGCUGUGGAAGGAAUGUGAAUGAAUUUUCCCUACAUAAACUUCCAGAAGUGAAGGAGAUGGUGGAUGUUUGCAAAAUAUCUAGAUGAUGAUUUGGCAGACAUAAUGGAUGAAGAUAUAGAGUAACUGCUCCAAUCACACAAGGUGUUCGUUGAAGAGAAAUUGGACGAACUAAUCAGAUCUAGUGAGGAAGGAGACAAAGAUGAAAAGAGUAAAAUGAUAACUUCUAAGUUAAACAAAGGACUGGUAAUGGCAAAUGAUCUCCACAGAAUUUUUCCUUGAAAUUGAUCCUAAUGUGGAGAGGAGUUUAAUAUUAAAACAGGAUUUGAAAGAUUUGCCAACUUUCUAUAAACAGGUACAAAAAGAGUUUCAGAAGAAAAUGAAGCCAACAUCUCAAUCAUCUAAUAGUGCCCUCACCCAUCCACCAGUGCCAAUGUCUAGACAUCUGUUUCAAUCAAAUUACUUUAAUUUUUAUGGAUGUAAAUCAUUU
This 559-nucleotide long non-coding RNA is filed under the name Androctonus crassicauda. The record is from RNAcentral. Lineage: Eukaryota; Metazoa; Arthropoda; Arachnida; Scorpiones; Buthidae.